RNAcentral lists this ribosomal RNA (253 nucleotides) under uncultured bacterium. Its description in RNAcentral is "partial 16S ribosomal RNA". It matches the Rfam family "Bacterial small subunit ribosomal RNA", at positions 524 to 776 of the family's 1533-position model. The record is from RNAcentral.
UACGUAGGGGGCAAGCGUUGUCCGGAAUCAUUGGGCGUAAAGCGCGUGUAGGCGGUUCGGUAAGUCGGCUGUGAAAAUCCAGGGCUCAACCCUGGGAUGCCGGUCGAUACUGCCGGACUAGAGUUCGGAAGAGGCGAGUGGAAUUCCCGGUGUAGCGGUGAAAUGCGCAGAUAUCGGGAGGAACACCAAUGGCGAAGGCAGCUCGCUGGGACGCAACUGACGCUGAGACGCGAAAGCGUGGGGAGCAAACAGG